GCUACCAAAUACAUCAAGAACACAUGUAGUUCUUGGAUAUCAACAACAACAUCAUCCAAAAUAAAUACACACAAUAAUAAGGAGAAAAUCUCACUAGACAAGUGUGUAUAGCCUAGAGGAAUGGAGAAGAAUUUCUACGAUCAGCUCCAGUCAAAAUGUAGGUAUCUUUGCCAAGAAUAACAUACUGAAAUAUCAAGAAAAUCGGACUACAAACGAGCCUCGAUCCUUUGGCAAGAAGAGCUGAAAUGUCGGACUCUUUCUCUCGCGUAACUCUCUGCUCCAGAAAAUGAAAUUGGCUUUCCCCUUUUGGAAUGUAUUAAUUCUGCCCCGUUUUCUCCCUAUCUAUAUUUGUAUGUUUUAGUUUGGACCAAACAAAUGGGCCAUUAAAUGCUUGAGCCCAAAUUGGCUAAUAAAAGCCAAGUCCCUCAAAGUGGAGGGAAGGCCCAACAAAUCUCCCCCUCCCGACUACGUGAGGGACUCCACCAAGCCUGCUUCCCUUCUACAUACUUGUAG
RNAcentral lists this long non-coding RNA (513 nucleotides) under Olea europaea (common olive). RNAcentral describes it as "long non-coding RNA (OEUR_LNC011412)". Lineage: Eukaryota; Viridiplantae; Streptophyta; Magnoliopsida; Lamiales; Oleaceae. The record is from RNAcentral.